Sander lucioperca (pikeperch) is the source of this 75-nucleotide long non-coding RNA. RefSeq lists it as uncharacterized. The record is from RefSeq and is a predicted model, not a curated record. NCBI's taxonomy places the organism in Eukaryota, Metazoa, Chordata, Actinopteri, Perciformes, Percidae. The transcript has 3 exons.
CCACGAUGUUCCGUGCAUUGUCGUGGACACAUGCAUCCACUUUCCUGGAACCGCUUGCGCAUACAUCAGUGUUAU